Molecule: long non-coding RNA, 1148 nt
Organism: Cervus elaphus (red deer)
Lineage: Eukaryota; Metazoa; Chordata; Mammalia; Artiodactyla; Cervidae
Exons: 3
Source: RefSeq, a predicted model, not a curated record
CGUGCCCAGAGGACGGGCUUGUGUGCCAUUAUGCCAAGAGCCUCGCACACUCACCUGCUCUCGCAUCCGGGGAACACGCUCUGCAGGGGGAGGGACCUUUGCAUGGGACCCUCUGCCCUCCUCCCCACCAGUGUCAAGGACAGGAAGCCCCCGCCCUGCCCUCGGGAGCUCACUCUCCGACAGAGCACGUGACUGGUUCCUUCAAGUGCAGUAAUUGUUCAUCGCUUCAUGAAUGCUCCGCAGACAAGGGCCUGUGAUUAGCCUCCACCCCAGGCUCCCUAGGAAGAGAAGGGAGACGGCUGGAGGUGGCUCUGCGCUGAGAACGGAGGUGGUGAGCCUGCAGCCCAGGGCACAAGCCCACCCCAGCCUGCGUCCCAGGAUCCAUGAGAGUUCGGGGCUGCCUCGUCUGCCGGCGAGGAGACAGUGCAUCAGGGGCUCUGACUGGCCCUGUGCUGAGGCCGUUCUGUCCACACACGGGGUGACCUGACCAUGGGGGACACCUGGCACUGACCUGCAGGUCCCGUGUGUGAAAGCCUCUCAUCUCCAGAAGGGCAGGAGCCGUGUAAACACACGCACAGCCACGAGCCCCCCGGGGGGCUUGCACCCUACUACACUCUGUCUUAGGGAGGGGUCACCUGUGAUGUCAGAGCUGGGAAGACACCGACUGAACCAGAGGAUACGGCCCAACAUGUAGAUGCUGAGGGGUGGGGCGGAGCACGGCCUCCUUCAGGCAGGUCUCCUGCAGCUGGGCCUCACCUCACGUAGGGACCCAGGAUGGAGGCACAGAGCUAGGAGCAGGCAGAGAUGCAGGGCAGCCCUGGCAGAGGCCUGACGACCAUCCAAGCAACCACUGCAGGCCUGAGAGGCAGGGCCUCUGGAAGGUCAGCUGGAGAUCUCUCCACCCAGACCAGGCACAGUCCAGACACCGGGACCUGAGUUCUGGGCUGAAGGCCACCUCUAGAGAGAGGAGGUCAAGGGGCAAAGACUGAGGGAGCUCCUGAGGCCAGACACCAGCAGGAGGCAACCCCUGGGGCAUCACAGUAGGUGACAAAUGGCACGGUGACCUGGACACUGGGACCCCUUCCUCCUCCCCUCCCCUGGGUCACCCCAGAGCCCCUCCCUCAGACCCCUCCCCUGGGUCACCCCAG